This 250-nucleotide ribosomal RNA is filed under the name uncultured prokaryote. RNAcentral's name for it is "partial 16S ribosomal RNA". It matches the Rfam family "Bacterial small subunit ribosomal RNA", at positions 524 to 773 of the family's 1533-position model. The record is from RNAcentral.
UACGGAGGAUGCGAGCGUUAUCCGGAUUUAUUGGGUUUAAAGGGUGCGUAGGCGGCUGGAUAAGCGUGAGGUGAAAUGCCGGGGCUCAACCUCGGAACUGCCUCGCGAACUGUCCGGCUUGAAUGCUCCUGCCGUGGGAGGAAUGUGUGGUGUAGCGGUGAAAUGCAUAGAGAUCACACAGAACACCGAUUGCGAAGGCAUCUCACGAAGGGGUGAUUGACGCUGAGGCACGAAAGCGUGGGGAUCAAAC